GGCACAUUCUAUCAGAAAGCCUGUAGGACCAACAGACAGUGAAGUUGGAGAAGGAGCUUUUAUAGAAGAUAAGGCCAAAACGAGUCAUUUUCUGCCUUCAGUGCAGAACGCAGUGACUAUGUCAAUCAGAAGUUGCCAGGAAUAAAAGCAGCAAACUGUAAGGUUUACUUGACUAUGGAAGGUUUUACAUUCAACAUCAAGAUAACAUCAUUUCAGCCAAGGAAUCACAAGAAUUACUUCAAAGCAAAACCGACUAUUGCCAGUGCUCUUUGAUUAAAUGCAUGUUGUUUCUUUAAAUAAGUCUUUAAUAACCAAGGUUCUGGAACACCUUUUAAUCAUGCCUUUGCAAAGCAACCAUAGAAAAGCAUAAA
Long non-coding RNA from Cygnus olor (mute swan), 371 nucleotides. RefSeq lists it as uncharacterized. The transcript is spliced from 3 exons. NCBI's taxonomy places the organism in Eukaryota, Metazoa, Chordata, Aves, Anseriformes, Anatidae. The record is from RefSeq and is a predicted model, not a curated record.